UGAUGGUCCUUCUGGUUGCUUCUUCGAUCGCAAAGAGGAGUCACCUUUUUAAUCGGACGUGAUACAUUUCUGCAGAAAAGUAUGCAUGGUUAGAUCAGUUUCUGUGCUUUUCAACGGUAUAGUUGGAGAAUAAUCUCAUACUCAGUGAAAACAGAUUUGAAUAAUAGGGUUUGACUCCGCUGGAUUAUUUAUUUUGAAUGCAAGUUAAAAAAGAACACAAAAGUAGAUUAUAAG
RNAcentral lists this unclassified non-coding RNA (234 nucleotides) under Hevea brasiliensis (rubber tree). Lineage: Eukaryota; Viridiplantae; Streptophyta; Magnoliopsida; Malpighiales; Euphorbiaceae. The record is from RNAcentral.